UUUUGGGGUCUUUUGGGGGUCUUUUUGAGGGUUGGAUUUCGGAUUUUGGGGUCUUUUGGGGGGGAUUUGGGAUUUUGGGGUAUUUUUUGGGGUAUUUUGUGGGUUGGAUUUGGGAUUUUGGGGUCUUUCUGGAGUCUUUUGGGGGUUGGAUUUGGAAUUUUGGGGUCUUUUGGGGUCUUUUUGAGGGUUGGAUUUGGGAUUUUGGAGUCUUCUGGGGGGGAUUUGGGAUUUGGGGGUCUUUUGGGGGGGAUUUUGGGGUCUUUUUGGGUCUUUCUGGAGUCUUUUGGGGGUUGGAUUUGGGAUUUUGGGGUCUUUUUUGGGGUCUUUUUGAGGGUUGGAUUUGGGAUUUUGGGGUCUUUUCUGGGGUCUUUUUGGGGGAGAUUUUGGAUUUUGGGGUCUUUUUGGGGUCUUUUUGAGGGUUGGAUGUGGGAUUUUGGGGUCUUUUGGGGGGGAUUUGGGAUUUUGGGGUCUUUUGGGUUCUUUUUGGGGUCUUUUGGGGGUUGGAUUUCGGAUUUUGGGUCUUUUUGGGGUCUUUUGGGGUGUUGGAUUUGGGAUUUUGGGGUCUUUUUUGGGGUCUUCUUUGGGGGGAUUUGGGAUUUUGGGGUCUUUUUGGAUCUUUUGGGGGUUGGAUUUGGGAUUUUGGGGCCUUUUGGGUUCUUUUGGGGGAUUUGGGAUUUUGGGGUCUCUUGGGGUCUUCUUGGGGGGGAUUUGGGAUUGUGGGGUCUUUUGGGUUCUUUUUGGGGUCUUUUGGGGGUUGGAUUUCGGAUUUUGGGUCUUUUUGGGGUCUUUUGGGGUGUUGGAUUUGGGAUUUUGGGGUCUUUUUGGGGUCUUUUUGGUGGGGAUUUGGGAUUUUGGGGUCUUUUUGGGUCUUUUUGGGGGUUGGAUUUGGGAUUUUGGGGUCUUUGGGGUGUUUUGGGGGGUUGGAUUUGGGAUUUUGGGGUCUUUUGGGGUCUUCUUGGGGGGGAUUUGGGAUUGUGGGGUCUUUUGGGGUUUUUUGGGGGGGAUUUGGGAUUUUGGGGUCUUUUUGGGGUCUUUUUGGGGGUUGGAUUUGGGAUUUUGGGGUCUUUUUGGAUCUUUUGGGGGUUGGAUUUGGGAUUUUGGGGUCUUUUGGGGUCUUCUUGGGGGGGAUUUGGGAUUGUGGGGUCUUUUGGGGUCUUUGGGGUCUUUUUGGGGGUUGGAUUUGGGAUUUUGGGGUCUUUUGGGGUCUUUUUUGGGGGGGAUUUGGGAUUGUGGGGUCUUUUGGGGUCUUUGGGGUCUUUUGGGGGGUUGGAUUUGGGAUUUUGGGGUCUUUUGGGGUCUUUUGGGGGGGGAUUUGGGAUUGUGGGGUCUUUUGGGGUCUUUUUGGGGUCUUUUGGGGGUUGGAUUUCGGAUUAUGGGUCUUUUGGGGUCUUCUUGGGGGGAUUUGGGAUUUAUGGGUCUUUUUGGGGUCUAUUGUGGGUUGGAUUUGGGAUUUUGGGGUCUUUUGGGGGUCUUUUUGGGGUCAGAUUUGGGAUUUUGGAUUGUUUUGGGCUGAAAUUUGGGGCCAAAUGUGGGAUUUUGGGCUCUUCUUGGGGCGAAAUUUGGGCAUUUGGGGGUUCAUUUUUGGGGUAAAAUGGGGGCUUUUGGGGUUCGUUUUUGGGGUAAAAUUGGGGGGUUUGGGGGUUCGUUUUUGGGGUAAAAUUGGGGGGUUUUGGGGCUCUUUUUUGGGGCUGAAAUGGGGGAAUUUGGGGGUCCAUUUUGGGACUGAAAUGGGGGGAUUUGGGGGUUCAUUUUUGGGGUAAAAUUGGGGGAAUUUGGGGGCUCAUUUUUGGGCCCAAAUUGGGGGCUUUGGGGUUCAUUUUUGGGGUUAAAAUUGGGAGAUUUUGGGGGCUCAUUUUUGGGCUGAAAUGGG
RNAcentral lists this long non-coding RNA (1870 nucleotides) under Gallus gallus (chicken). Its description in RNAcentral is "lncRNA (ENSGALG00010000236.1)". Lineage: Eukaryota; Metazoa; Chordata; Aves; Galliformes; Phasianidae. The record is from RNAcentral.